GCGAAAACUUUACAAUGCUGGCAACAGCGAUAAGGGAACCUCGAGUGCCAGGUUACAAAUCUGGCUGUCGAGAUGCCUAAAAAGCAUUUCAUAGCAAGGGCCGGGCAAGACCGGUGCCAGCCGCCGCGGUAACACCGGCGGCACGAGUGGUAACCGUUACUAUUGGGUCUAUAGGGCCUGUAGCCGGCCGGAUAAGUCUCUUGAGAAAUCUGGCGGCUUAACUGUCAGGCUUUCAGGAGAUACUGGCUGGCUCGAGGCCGGGAGAGGUGAGAAGUACUUCAGGGGUAGGGGUGAAAUCUUGUAAUCCUUGAAGGACCACCAGUGGCGAAGGCGUCUCACCGGAACGGACCUGACGGCAAGGUACGAAAGCUAGGGGCACGAACC
RNAcentral lists this ribosomal RNA (384 nucleotides) under uncultured prokaryote. RNAcentral's name for it is "bacterial SSU rRNA". It matches the Rfam family "Archaeal small subunit ribosomal RNA", at positions 341 to 725 of the family's 1478-position model. The record is from RNAcentral.